UACGGGGGGGGCAAGCGUUGUUCGGAAUUACUGGGCGUAAAGGGCUCGUAGGUGGCCAACUAAGUCAGACGUGAAAUCCCUCAGCUUAACUGGGGAACUGCGUCUGAUACUGGAUGGCUUGAGUUUGGGAGAGGGAUGCGGAAUUCCAGGUGUAGCGGUGAAAUGCGUAGAUAUCUGGAGGAACACCGGUGGCGAAGGCGGCAUUCUGGACUGCAACUGACACUGAAGAACGAAAGCCAGGGGAGCAAACGGG
This 253-nucleotide ribosomal RNA is filed under the name uncultured bacterium. RNAcentral's name for it is "partial 16S ribosomal RNA". It matches the Rfam family "Bacterial small subunit ribosomal RNA", at positions 524 to 776 of the family's 1533-position model. The record is from RNAcentral.